GAUGAACGCUGGCGGCGUGCCUAAUACAUGCAAGUCGAGCGAACGGACGAGAAGCUUGCUUCUCUGAUGUUAGCGGCGGACGGGUGAGUAACACGUGGAUAACCUACCUAUAAGACUGGGAUAACUUCGGGAAACCGGAGCUAAUACCGGAUGAUAUUUUGACCCGCAUGGUUCAAAAGUGAAAGACGGUCUUGCUGUCACUUAUAGAUGGAUCCGCGCUGCAUUAGCUAGUUGGUAAGGUAACGGCUUACCAAGGCAACGAUGCAUAGCCGACCUGAGAGGGUGAUCGGCCACACUGGAACUUAGACACGGUCCAGACUCCUACGGGAGGCAGCAGUAGGGAAUCUUCCGCGAUGGGCGAAAGCCUGACGGAGCAACGCCGCGUGAGUGAUGAAGGUCUUCGGAUCGUAAAACUCUGUUAUUAGGGAAGAACAUAUGUGUAAGUAACUGUGCACAUCUUGACGGUACCGAAUCAGAAAGCCACGGCUAACUACGUG
This 497-nucleotide ribosomal RNA is filed under the name uncultured bacterium. Its description in RNAcentral is "partial 16S ribosomal RNA". It matches the Rfam family "Bacterial small subunit ribosomal RNA", at positions 28 to 507 of the family's 1533-position model. The record is from RNAcentral.